Molecule: ribosomal RNA, 565 nt
Filed under: Eviota prasina (green bubble goby)
Lineage: Eukaryota; Metazoa; Chordata; Actinopteri; Gobiiformes; Gobiidae
Description: partial 16S ribosomal RNA
Rfam family: Bacterial large subunit ribosomal RNA
Source: RNAcentral
CGCCUCUUGAACAAUAUAAGAGGUCCCGCCUGCCCUGUGACGAAAGUUUAACGGCCGCGGUAUUCUGACCGUGCGAAGGUAGCGUAAUAACUUGUCUUUUAAAUAGAGACCUGUAUGAAUGGCAUAACGAGGGCUAAGCUGUCUCCUUUUUCUAGUCAAUGAAAUUGAUCUCCCCGUGCAGAAGCGGGGAUUACAACAUAAGACGAGAAGACCCUAUGGAGCUUUAGACACCAGGACAGACCAUGUUAAGACCCCUGCAAUACCAGGAAUAAACCCCAGGGCCCCUGUUCUCCUGUCUUUGGUUGGGGCGACCGCGGGGAAAUACAAAACCCCCACGAGGAACGGGAAACCACCCCUAAACUCAGAGCCACAGCUCUAGUUAACAGAACAUCUGACUUUGAGAUCCGGCACUGCCGAUCAACGGACCGAGUUACCCUAGGGAUAACAGCGCAAUCCCCUUUUAGAGCCCAUAUCGACAAGGGGGUUUACGACCUCGAUGUUGGAUCAGGACCUCCUAAUGGUGCAGCCGCUAUUAAGGGUUCGUUUGUUCAACGAUUAAAGUCCU